ACGUUGUAGGUACCCGUACCGCAAACGGACACACGUAGUCGGGUUGAAUAUACUAAGGCGCUUGGGUGAGUCACGGUUAAGGAACUAGGCAAAUUGACCCUGUAACUUCGGAAUAAAGGGUCCCUCCUCGCAAGAGAGGGCGCAGAGAAUAGGUCCAGGCAACUGUUUAACAAAAACACAGGGCUGUGCUAAUAUGAAAGUAGAUGUAUACAGCCUGACACCUGCCCGGUGCUGGAAGGUUAAGAGGAGAUGUCAUCGAUGAGAGAAGCAUUGAAUUGAAGCCCCAGUAAACGGCGGCCGUAACUAUAACGGUCCUAAGGUAGCGAAAUUCCUUGUCGGGUAAGUUCCGACCUGCACGAAUGGUGUAAUGAUCCGGACACUGUCUCAACCGUGAGCCCAGUGAAAUUGUAGUAUCGGUGAAGAUGCCGAUUACCCGCGAUGGGACGAAAAGACCCCGUGAACCUUUACUAUAGCUUAGCAUUGAAUUUGGGCACGCGAUGUGUAGGAUAGGUCGGAGGC
This 519-nucleotide ribosomal RNA is filed under the name Bacteroides caecigallinarum. RNAcentral describes it as "partial 23S ribosomal RNA". It matches the Rfam family "Bacterial large subunit ribosomal RNA", at positions 1629 to 2155 of the family's 2925-position model. The record is from RNAcentral. Lineage: Bacteria; Pseudomonadati; Bacteroidota; Bacteroidia; Bacteroidales; Bacteroidaceae.